CGACCCCUAAGGCGAGGCCGAAAGGCGUAGUCGAUGGGAAACAGGUUAAUAUUCCUGUACUUGGUGUUACUGCGAAGGGGGGACGGAGAAGGCUAUGUUGGCCGGGCGACGGUUGUCCCGGUUUAAGCGUGUAGGCUGGUUUUCCAGGCAAAUCCGGAAAAUCAAGGCUGAGGCGUGAUGACGAGGCACUACGGUGCUGAAGCAACAAAUGCCCUGCUUCCAGGAAAAGCCUCUAAGCAUCAGGUAACAUCAAAUCGUACCCCAAACCGACACAGGUGGUCAGGUAGAGAAUACCAAGGCGCUUGAGAGAACUCGGGUGAAGGAACUAGGCAAAAUGGUGCCGUAACUUCGGGAGAAGGCACGCUGAUAUGUAGGUGAAGUCCCUCGCGGAUGGAGCUGAAAUCAGUCGAAGAUACCAGCUGGCUGCAACUGUUUAUUAAAAACACAGCACUGUGCAAACACGAAAGUGGACGUAUACGGUGUGACGCCUGCCCGGUGCCGGAAGGUUAAUUGAUGGGGUCAGCGCAANAUACCAGCUGGCUGCAACUGUUUAUUAAAAACACAGCACUGUGCAAACACGAAAGUGGACGUAUACGGUGUGACGCCUGCCCGGUGCCGGAAGGUUAAUUGAUGGGGUUAGCGGUAACGCGAAGCUCUUGAUCGAAGCCCCGGUAAACGGCGGCCGUAACUAUAACGGUCCUAAGGUAGCGAAAUUCCUUGUCGGGUAAGUUCCGACCUGCACGAAUGGCGUAAUGAUGGCCAGGCUGUCUCCACCCGAGACUCAGUGAAAUUGAACUCGCUGUGAAGAUGCAGUGUACCCGCGGCAAGACGGAAAGACCCCGUGAACCUUUACUAUAGCUUGACACUGAACAUUGAGCCUUGAUGUGUAGGAUAGGUGGGAGGCUUUGAAGUGUGGACGCCAGUCUGCAUGGAGCCGACCUUGAAAUACCACCCUUUAAUGUUUGAUGUUCUAACGUUGACCCGUGAUCCGGGUUGCGGACAGUGUCUGGUGGGUAGUUUGACUGGGGCGGUCUCCUCCUAAAGAGUAACGGAGGAGCACGAAGGUUGGCUAAUCCUGGUCGGACAUCAGGAGGUUAGUGCAAUGGCAUAAGCCAGCUUGACUGCGAGCGUGACGGCGCGAGCAGGUGCGAAAGCAGGUCAUAGUGAUCCGGUGGUUCUGAAUGGAAGGGCCAUCGCUCAACGGAUAAAAGGUACUCCGGGGAUAACAGGCUGAUACCGCCCAAGAGUUCAUAUCGACGGCGGUGUUUGGCACCUCGAUGUCGGCUCAUCACAUCCUGGGGCUGAAGUAGGUCCCAAGGGUAUGGCUGUUCGCCAUUUAAAGUGGUACGCGAGCUGGGUUUAGAACGUCGUGAGACAGUUCGGUCCCUAUCUGCCGUGGGCGCUGGAGAA
This 1410-nucleotide ribosomal RNA is filed under the name Escherichia coli. RNAcentral's name for it is "bacterial LSU rRNA". It matches the Rfam family "Bacterial large subunit ribosomal RNA", at positions 1385 to 2661 of the family's 2925-position model. The record is from RNAcentral. Lineage: Bacteria; Pseudomonadati; Pseudomonadota; Gammaproteobacteria; Enterobacterales; Enterobacteriaceae.